This 468-nucleotide ribosomal RNA is filed under the name uncultured bacterium. Its description in RNAcentral is "partial 16S ribosomal RNA". It matches the Rfam family "Bacterial small subunit ribosomal RNA", at positions 28 to 507 of the family's 1533-position model. The record is from RNAcentral.
GACGAACGCUGGCGGCGUGCUUAACACAUGCAAGUCGAACGGAAAGGCCCUGCUUUUGUGGGGUGCUCGAGUGGCGAACGGGUGAGUAACACGUGAGUAACCUGCGCUUGACUUUGGGAUAACUUCAGGAAACUGGGGCUAAUACCGGAUAGGAGCUCCUGCUGCAUGGUGGGGGUUGGAAAGUUUCGGCGGUUGGGGAUGGACUCGCGGCUUAUCAGCUUGUUGGUGGGGUAGUGGCUUACCAAGGCUUUGACGGGUAGCCGGCCUGAGAGGGUGACCGGCCACAUUGGGACUGAGAUACGGCCCAGACUCCUACGGGAGGCAGCAGUGGGGAAUAUGGCACAAUGGGCGGAAGCCUGAUGCAGCAACGCCGCGUGCGGGAUGACGGCCUUCGGGUUGUAAACCGCUUUCGCCUGUGACGAAGCGUGAGUGACGGUAAUGGGUAAAGAAGCACCGGCUAACUACGUG